This 137-nucleotide ribosomal RNA is filed under the name Petromyzon marinus (sea lamprey). The record is from RNAcentral. Lineage: Eukaryota; Metazoa; Chordata; Hyperoartia; Petromyzontiformes; Petromyzontidae.
UAACAUAACCUACGUAUAAAUUUACCAAAUCACCUGGAAUAUGCUCGAUGUCAUGAGAUCUUGGAAGCCAAGCAGGAUCACACCUGAAUAGUGCUUGGAUGGAUGACUACCCUGGAUAGACCAGGUGGUCAUGGGGU